This 415-nucleotide ribosomal RNA is filed under the name Euhamitermes hamatus. RNAcentral describes it as "partial 12S ribosomal RNA". Lineage: Eukaryota; Metazoa; Arthropoda; Insecta; Blattodea; Termitidae. The record is from RNAcentral.
CCCUAUUAUUUUGGAGCGUUAAUUUUUUGUGUCUGAGUAGUAUUAGUUAUGUUCUUGAAACUUAAAGAAUUUGGCGGUAUUUUAUACCAUCCAGAGGAAUCUGUCUCGUCAUCGAUAGUCCACGUUGGACCUUACUUAGUUGCUUUGGUUUGUAUACCGCCGUUUAUUGAUUAUCUUUUUAGAGUUUAUUAAUUUUCUAGUUUCUUUAUUUUGAUUUAUUUCAGGUCAAGGUGCAGCUUGUUUCUAAGUGGUAUGAUGGAUUACACUGUUAUUUGUUUGUUGGAUUAUUGGUUUUGAUACUGAUAUGAAAUUGGAUUUGGUUGUAAUGUUUUGUAGAUUGUUUUCGUGAUAAUUGGCUCUAAGAUAUGUACACAUCGCCCGUCGCUCUCGUUUAUUUUUGUUAAUGAGAUAAGUC